RNAcentral lists this ribosomal RNA (253 nucleotides) under uncultured bacterium. Its description in RNAcentral is "partial 16S ribosomal RNA". It matches the Rfam family "Bacterial small subunit ribosomal RNA", at positions 524 to 776 of the family's 1533-position model. The record is from RNAcentral.
UACGGAGGGUGCAAACGUUGCUCGGAAUCACUGGGCGUAAAGCGCACGUAGGCGGCUUGUUAAGUCAGGGGUGAAAUCCUGGAGCUCAACUCCAGAACUGCCUUUGAUACUGGCGAGCUCGAGUCCGGGAGAGGUGAGUGGAACUGCGAGUGUAGAGGUGAAAUUCGUAGAUAUUCGCAAGAACACCAGUGGCGAAGGCGGCUCACUGGCCCGGUACUGACGCUGAGGUGCGAAAGCGUGGGGAGCAAACAGG